This 71-nucleotide transfer RNA is filed under the name Toxocara canis (dog roundworm). It matches the Rfam family "tRNA". Rfam says of the family: Transfer RNA (tRNA) molecules are approximately 80 nucleotides in length. Their secondary structure includes four short double-helical elements and three loops (D, anti-codon, and T loops). Lineage: Eukaryota; Metazoa; Nematoda; Chromadorea; Rhabditida; Toxocaridae. The record is from Rfam by way of RNAcentral.
GCGGCAAUAGCUCAGUGGUAGAGCCCUGCUUCGUGUGCCGGAAGACCCGGGUUCGAUUCCCGGCUGCUUCC